This 213-nucleotide long non-coding RNA is filed under the name Lathyrus oleraceus (garden pea). RNAcentral describes it as "Pisum sativum (pea) long non-coding RNA (PSAT_LNC014633)". Lineage: Eukaryota; Viridiplantae; Streptophyta; Magnoliopsida; Fabales; Fabaceae. The record is from RNAcentral.
UAGUGGGAAGCAGUGAAUUCCUCAACCACCCGACCAUGGGUGACUAGUUGGAAGGUAAACGCAUUCACUACUAUAAGUACAAAAACUAUUCAAAAAAUUUAAAAUAAAAAAACUGGGCCCAAAUGGGUGGACGAUUGGGCUUGGAGCGGGUCAGAUUGAUCCGAAACGACUUGCUAACAUAACAUGACAAGAGUACACUUAAUUCUAAACAUG